CUUGCCGAACAUAACAAAAAAUACUAUAUAUAUAGUAUUUUUUGUUAUGUUCAUAUAACUGGUUUCUAUCCAAUUAUAUAAAUGCCUUCUAAAUUAACUAGGAAUAUUGAUGUAGCUUUUAUGUCUAAUAUAAUUCUUUAAAAAGAAUAUAUAGUACUUCAGAUAUAAUCAGCUGCAUUUCCUGUUCACUCCUCCACCAUGAUGAGAUGCAGAUAGGAUUCAGAGGAGAUUGGAAUGAUUUUUGAAAUGAAAUGGUUUGAGAAAAACUUGAAUGAUUCUAACCUGAGAAUUUUAAAUUUAAUGCAUAACUUUUAUGCUAUUUAUGAAAAAUUUAUAAAAGAUCUAUAUUUUUCACUAAAAAUAAUCUUGCUCACAUCAGUUCAAAAAUCGCCAAUGGUCCUGAAAAGAACUUUUUGUUAUCCAGUGGCUCUGAAGAGAGCCUUUUAGUAUGAAUCACGACAUAUUUGAAAUUUCCUUACAAUCUGUACUUUUCUUUUAAACGCUGCAGUAGUGUUUGGAAAACUGAUGUUCCAGGCUGAUUAUAUAU
RNAcentral lists this long non-coding RNA (547 nucleotides) under Androctonus crassicauda. The record is from RNAcentral. Lineage: Eukaryota; Metazoa; Arthropoda; Arachnida; Scorpiones; Buthidae.